GACGAACGCUGGCGGCGUGCUUAACACAUGCAAGUCGAACGGAAAGGCCUGCUUUCCCUUGUGGAUUGCGGGUACUCGAGUGGCGAACGGGUGAGUAACACGUGAGUGAUCUGCCCCCAACUUGGGUAUAAGCCUGGGAAACUGGGUCUAAUUCCCGAUAGGACUGCAGGGUGGUGCCUGUGGUGGAAAACGAUUUUCUAGUGGUUGGGGAUGAGCUCGCGGCCUAUCAGCUUGUUGGUGGGGUAAUGGCCUACCAAGGCGGCGACGGGUAGCCGGCCUGAGAGGGUGGACGGCGACAUUGAGACUGGGAUACGGCCCAGACGCCAACGGGAGGCAGCAGUGGGGAAUAUUGCGCAAUGGGCGGAAGCCUGAUGCAGCGACGCCGCGUGGGGGAUGACGGCCUUCGGGUUGUAAACUCCUUUCGACCGCGAGGAAGCCACCUGGUUGGAAGGGUGGUGACGGUAGUGGUAGAAGAAGCACCGGCUAACUACGUG
RNAcentral lists this ribosomal RNA (494 nucleotides) under uncultured bacterium. RNAcentral describes it as "partial 16S ribosomal RNA". It matches the Rfam family "Bacterial small subunit ribosomal RNA", at positions 28 to 507 of the family's 1533-position model. The record is from RNAcentral.